GGGCCCGUGGCGCAGCUGGGAGCGCGCGUGAAUCGCACUCACGAGGUCAGGGGUUCGAAUCCCCUCGGGUCCACCA
RNAcentral lists this transfer RNA (76 nucleotides) under Chloroflexota bacterium. RNAcentral's name for it is "Chloroflexi bacterium tRNA-Ala". It matches the Rfam family "tRNA". From Rfam's summary of the family: Transfer RNA (tRNA) molecules are approximately 80 nucleotides in length. Their secondary structure includes four short double-helical elements and three loops (D, anti-codon, and T loops). Further hydrogen bonds mediate the characteristic L-shaped molecular structure. tRNAs have two regions of fundamental functional importance: the anti-codon, which is responsible for specific mRNA codon recognition, and the 3' end, to which the tRNAs corresponding amino acid is attached (by aminoacyl-tRNA synthetases). tRNAs cope with the degeneracy of the genetic code in two manners: having more than one tRNA (with a specific anti-codon) for a particular amino acid; and 'wobble' base-pairing, i.e. permitting non-standard base-pairing at the 3rd anti-codon position. Lineage: Bacteria; Bacillati; Chloroflexota. The record is from RNAcentral. RNAcentral also lists the same sequence under 3 other names.